GGCGAGGUAGCUCAGGUGGUUAGAGCGUCGGAUUCAUAACCCGGAGGUCGGGAGUUCGAGUCUCCCCCUCGCUA
RNAcentral lists this transfer RNA (74 nucleotides) under Flavobacteriaceae bacterium. Its description in RNAcentral is "tRNA-Met". It matches the Rfam family "tRNA". From Rfam's summary of the family: Transfer RNA (tRNA) molecules are approximately 80 nucleotides in length. Their secondary structure includes four short double-helical elements and three loops (D, anti-codon, and T loops). Lineage: Bacteria; Pseudomonadati; Bacteroidota; Flavobacteriia; Flavobacteriales; Flavobacteriaceae. The record is from RNAcentral.